GAAGAGAGAGUUCAACAGUACGUGAAACCGUUCGGGGGAAAACGGACAGAGCCCGUGAAUCCGGGCGAUAGAAUUCAAAAUUGGUGGCGACGUCAGUCGUCGCUGGUUUGAUAUUUCUGUCGCCGUGUACGGACGUCGCGACCCGUUUGGUGUCGGUCUUGGGAGACGUGUGAAAGUUCGUUGGCACUGUCGACUUGCUCGGCAGCGUUGCGAGUACGCGUUUUUUCUGGCCGACUUGCCAGACGGUACGAACAGGUGACUGCGGCGGCUUUACGCUGUCGCAGUGCCGGUCUGCGACGAAUCUUCGGGUCUCUUUCCGACCCGUCUUGAAACACGGACCAAGGAGUCUAACGUGCGCGCGAGUCGCGGGGAGUCGAGCAGUGGCGACGGCAACGUAGUCGCUGCUCGUUACAAUACGAAACCCGUAGUAUGAAAGGCGCAAUGAAAGUGAAUUCCUUCAUUGGAAUGGGGAAGAUGGCGUUACCGAGUUCACGUUCCGCGAUCGYUGGUAUCGCGGCCGGUCGCCCGCAUUCCCGGGGCGUUCCAACGGCCCGGCAGCGUUGCGGAUCGUCGYCUCCUCGGGGGCGGCGGUCGGGCGUUGUCGAACCGGGGCGCACCUAUAGCGUGCACGUUGGUACCCGAAAGAUGGUGAACUAUGCCUGGCCAGGAUGAAGUCAGGGGAAACCCUGAUGGAGGUCCGCAGCGAUUCUGACGUGCAAAUCGAUCGUCUGAGCUGGG
This 738-nucleotide ribosomal RNA is filed under the name Peliococcus shanxiensis. Its description in RNAcentral is "partial 28S ribosomal RNA". It matches the Rfam family "Eukaryotic large subunit ribosomal RNA", at positions 378 to 915 of the family's 3401-position model. Lineage: Eukaryota; Metazoa; Arthropoda; Insecta; Hemiptera; Pseudococcidae. The record is from RNAcentral.